This 89-nucleotide transfer RNA is filed under the name endosymbiont of Pachyrhynchus infernalis. It matches the Rfam family "tRNA". From Rfam's summary of the family: Transfer RNA (tRNA) molecules are approximately 80 nucleotides in length. Their secondary structure includes four short double-helical elements and three loops (D, anti-codon, and T loops). Lineage: Bacteria; Pseudomonadati; Pseudomonadota; Gammaproteobacteria. The record is from Rfam by way of RNAcentral.
AGUGAGAUGUCUGAGUGGUUUAAAGAACAUGUUUGGAAAACAUGUAUAUGUGUUAAAACAUAUCGAGGGUUCGAAUCCCUCUCUCACUG